GAAAUAGAACCUGAAACCGUGUGCUUACAAGUAGUCAGAGCCCGUUAAUGGGUGAUGGCGUGCCUUUUGUAGAAUGAACCGGCGAGUUACGAUUUGAUGCAAGGUUAAGCAGUAAAUGUGGAGCCGUAGCGAAAGCGAGUCUGAAUAGGGCGUUUAGUAUUUGGUCGUAGACCCGAAACCAGGUGAUCUACCCUUGGUCAGGUUGAAGUUCAGGUAACACUGAAUGGAGGACCGAACCGACUUACGUUGAAAAGUGAGCGGAUGAACUGAGGGUAGCGGAGAAAUUCCAAUCGAACCUGGAGAUAGCUGGUUCUCUCCGAAAUAGCUUUAGGGCUAGCCUCAAGUGAUGAUUAUUGGAGGUAGAGCACUGUUUGGACGAGGGGCCCCUC
RNAcentral lists this ribosomal RNA (389 nucleotides) under Staphylococcus aureus. RNAcentral's name for it is "partial 23S ribosomal RNA". It matches the Rfam family "Bacterial large subunit ribosomal RNA", at positions 540 to 931 of the family's 2925-position model. The record is from RNAcentral. Lineage: Bacteria; Bacillati; Bacillota; Bacilli; Caryophanales; Staphylococcaceae.